UAUAUAAAAAAAUAAUCUUACAGUAUUGGAAGGAUACAGAGGCCCCAUCGUUACAACAAUGGAAGGGACUAAUGAAAUACUAUUUAAGUAUAGAAAAAUCAAUGUUUGAAGACAGGAACAAAAGGCAACAAUUCAACAAGGUGUGGCAGGACAUAUAUGAAGCGUUGUAAAUUUAAUGGCUAAGAAAUAAGAACUAAGUAUGGUGACCGAGAGCUGGAAACCAAGUAAGUGUGUGUGUGUGUGUGUGUGUGUGUGUA
This is a long non-coding RNA of Sander lucioperca (pikeperch), 257 nucleotides long. RefSeq lists it as uncharacterized. The record is from RefSeq and is a predicted model, not a curated record. The transcript is spliced from 3 exons. Lineage: Eukaryota; Metazoa; Chordata; Actinopteri; Perciformes; Percidae.